AAGUCAUCAUGCAAGGCAACCAUGAAAGCUUGCCCUUCUAUAUCAAAUCGACGUCGAGGAACUCUUCCACGGUCACUUCUCCGCACUUCAGUCUCUUGUAAUUCUUCUCUUGAACAAUCAUUAACCGAGGUUUCUCUCACACUAAGUUGAGAUAGUUCACGAGAACUUUCACCAACUUCCACAGAUUGGUUAGUAGAAAAAAAAACAUUAGUUGGAUCAACCAUCUCUUCAAGACGAGAAUCCCUUUCACCCUCUCUCCCCUUUGAGGAAAAUCACUUUCCAAAAAUGUCACAUCUCA
Molecule: long non-coding RNA, 298 nt
Filed under: Brassica napus (rape)
Lineage: Eukaryota; Viridiplantae; Streptophyta; Magnoliopsida; Brassicales; Brassicaceae
Description: long non-coding RNA (BNAP_LNC023008)
Source: RNAcentral